RNAcentral lists this ribosomal RNA (252 nucleotides) under uncultured bacterium. RNAcentral describes it as "partial 16S ribosomal RNA". It matches the Rfam family "Bacterial small subunit ribosomal RNA", at positions 524 to 776 of the family's 1533-position model. The record is from RNAcentral.
UACGUAGGGGGCAAGCGUUAUCCGGAUUUAUUGGGUUUAAAGGGUGCGUAGGCGGAUCGUUAAGUCAGUGGUCAAAUUGAGGGGCUCAACCCCUUCCCGCCAUUGAAACUGGCGAUCUUGAGUGGAAGAGAAGUAUGCGGAAUGCGUGGUGUAGCGGUGAAAUGCAUAGAUAUCACGCAGAACCCCGAUUGCGAAGGCAGCAUGCCGGCUUCCGACUGACGCUGAAGCACGAAAGCGUGGGGAUCGAACAGG